AUUGAACGCUGGCGGCAUGCCUUACACAUGCAAGUCGAGCGGCAGCGCGGGGCAACCUGGCGGCGAGCGGCGAACGGGUGAGUAAUACAUCGGAACGUACCCAGUUGUGGGGGAUAGCCCGGCGAAAGCCGGAUUAAUACCGCAUACGACCUGAGGGUGAAAGGGGGGGAUCGCAAGACCUCUCGCAGUUGGAGCGGCCGAUGGCGGAUUAGCUAGUUGGUAGGGUAAAGGCCUACCAAGGCGACGAUCCGUAGCUGGUCUGAGAGGACGACCAGCCACACUGGAACUGAGACACGGUCCAGACUCCUACGGGAGGCAGCAGUGGGGAAUUUUGGACAAUGGGGGCAACCCUGAUCCAGCCAUUCCGCGUGAGUGAAGAAGGCC
Molecule: ribosomal RNA, 384 nt
Filed under: uncultured bacterium
Lineage: Bacteria
Description: bacterial SSU rRNA
Rfam family: Bacterial small subunit ribosomal RNA
Source: RNAcentral